GGGCCGCUAGCUCAGUCGGUAGAGCAGUUGACUCUUAAUCAAUUGGCGCGGGGUUCGAGUCCCCGGCGGCCCACCA
Molecule: transfer RNA, 76 nt
Filed under: Syntrophobacterales bacterium
Lineage: Bacteria; Pseudomonadati; Thermodesulfobacteriota; Syntrophobacteria; Syntrophobacterales
Also listed under: 1 other name
Description: tRNA-Lys
Rfam family: tRNA
About the family: Transfer RNA (tRNA) molecules are approximately 80 nucleotides in length.
Source: RNAcentral